UACGAGGGGGGCAAGCGUUGUUCGGAAUUAUUGGGCGUAAAGGGUGCGUAGGCGGUUUGGUAAGUCUUAUGUGAAAUCUACAGGCUCAACUUGUAGUCUGCAUGAGAAACUGCCGGGCUUGAGUAUGGGAGAGGUGAGUGGAAUUCCUGGUGUAGCGGCGAAAUGCGUAGAUAUCAGGAGGAACACCUGUGGCGAAAGCGGCUCACUGGACCAUAACUGACGCUGAUGCACGAAAGCUAGGGGAGCAAACAGG
RNAcentral lists this ribosomal RNA (253 nucleotides) under uncultured bacterium. RNAcentral describes it as "partial 16S ribosomal RNA". It matches the Rfam family "Bacterial small subunit ribosomal RNA", at positions 524 to 776 of the family's 1533-position model. The record is from RNAcentral.